UGCAGUCGAACGCGAUUGGUCUUCGGAUCAAUCGAGUGGCGAACGGGUGAGUAACACGUAGGUAACGUACCCCAUGGCGGGGGAUAACCCAGGGAAACCUGGGCUAAUACCGCAUAUGGUGCAAGGGUCAUAAGGCCUAUGCAUCAAAGCCUUCGGGCAUCAUGGGAGCGGCCUGCGGCCCAUUAUUUAAUCCUAGUUGGUGGGGUAAUGGCCUACCAAGGGUACGAUGGGUAGCUGGUCUGAGAGGAUGAUCAGCCACACUGGGACUGAGACACGGCCCAGACUCCUACGGGAGGCAGCAGUGGAGAAUCUUGCGCAAUGGGCGAAAGCCUGACGCAGCCACGCCGCGUGUGUGAUGAAGGCCUUCGGGUCGUAAAGCACUGUCGGGAGGGACGAAAGCUUCGGCUUGACGGUACCUCGCAAGAAAGCACCGGCUAACUCCGUGCCAGCAGCCGCGGUAAUACGGAGGGUGCAAGCGUUGCUCGGAUUUACUGGGCGUAAAGCGAGCGCAGGCGGCUAUUCAAGUCGGGUGUGAAAGCCCGGGGCUCAACCCCGGAGGUGCAUCCGAAACUGGAUAGCUUGAGUACGGUAGAGGGAAGCGGAAUUCCAGGUGUA
This 615-nucleotide ribosomal RNA is filed under the name uncultured Pseudomonadota bacterium. RNAcentral describes it as "bacterial SSU rRNA". It matches the Rfam family "Bacterial small subunit ribosomal RNA", at positions 56 to 677 of the family's 1533-position model. Lineage: Bacteria; Pseudomonadati; Pseudomonadota. The record is from RNAcentral.